GAUGAACGCUGGCGGCGUGCCUAACACAUGCAAGUCGAACGGAGUCGUUUUGGAAAUCUCUUCGGAGAUGGAAUUCUCGACUUAGUGGCGGACGGGUGAGUAACGCGUGAGCAAUCUACCUUUAAGAGGGGGAUAACAGUCGGAAACGGCUGCUAAUACCGCAUAAAGCAAUGAAUUCGCAUGUUCUCAUUGCCAAAGGAGCAAUCCGCUUUUAGAUGAGCUCGCGUCUGAUUAGCUAGUUGGCGGGGUAACGGCCCACCAAGGCAACGAUCAGUAGCCGGACUGAGAGGUUGAACGGCCACAUUGGGACUGAGACACGGCACAGACUCCUACGGGAGGCAGCAGUGGGGAAUAUUGCGCAAUGGGGGAAACCCUGACGCAGCAACGCCGCGUGAUUGAAGAAGGCCUUCGGGUUGUAAAGAUCUUUAAUCAGGGACGAAACAAAUGACGGUACCUGAAGAAUAAGCUCCGGCUAACUACGUGCCAGCCGCCGCCGUAA
RNAcentral lists this ribosomal RNA (499 nucleotides) under uncultured bacterium. RNAcentral's name for it is "partial 16S ribosomal RNA". It matches the Rfam family "Bacterial small subunit ribosomal RNA", at positions 28 to 523 of the family's 1533-position model. The record is from RNAcentral.